This 460-nucleotide ribosomal RNA is filed under the name uncultured bacterium. RNAcentral's name for it is "partial 16S ribosomal RNA". It matches the Rfam family "Bacterial small subunit ribosomal RNA", at positions 338 to 795 of the family's 1533-position model. The record is from RNAcentral.
CCUACGGGGGGCUGCAGUGAGGAAUAUUGGUCAAUGGACGAGAGUCUGAACCAGCCAAGUAGCGUGAAGGAUGACUGCCCUAUGGGUUGUAAACUUCUUUUAUAUGGGAAUAAAAUGUUCCACGUGUGGGAUUUUGUAUGUACCAUAUGAAUAAGGAUCGGCUAACUCCGUGCCAGCAGCCGCGGUAAUACGGAGGAUCCGAGCGUUAUCCGGAUUUAUUGGGUUUAAAGGGAGCGUAGGUGGAUUGUUAAGUCAGUUGUGAAAGUUUGCGGCUCAACCGUAAAAUUGCAGUUGAAACUGGCAGUCUGGAGUACAGUAGAGGUGGGCGGAAUUCGUGGUGUAGCGGUGAAAUGCUUAGAGAUCACGAAGAACUCCGAUUGCGAAGGCAGCUCACUGGACUGCAACGGACACUGAGGCUCGAAAGUGUGGGUAUCAAACAGGAUUAGAUACCCCAGUAGUC